AGUGAACUUCGUUUGAAACGGAAAUCCUUUUUCUUUUUCCUUUAAAAAAAAAUUGAAGUGUAAAGUGCAAUUAGCU
This 76-nucleotide small RNA is filed under the name Flavobacterium psychrophilum DSM 3660 = ATCC 49418. RNAcentral describes it as "Flavo-1 RNA". Lineage: Bacteria; Pseudomonadati; Bacteroidota; Flavobacteriia; Flavobacteriales; Flavobacteriaceae. The record is from RNAcentral.